Molecule: transfer RNA, 69 nt
Filed under: Curculionoidea sp. 28 KM-2017
Lineage: Eukaryota; Metazoa; Arthropoda; Insecta; Coleoptera
Description: tRNA-Met
Rfam family: tRNA
About the family: Transfer RNA (tRNA) molecules are approximately 80 nucleotides in length. Their secondary structure includes four short double-helical elements and three loops (D, anti-codon, and T loops).
Source: RNAcentral
AAAAAGAUAAGCUAAAUAAGCUAAUGGGCUCAUACCCCAGUUAUAAAGGUAAUAACCCUUUUCUUUUUA